UACGUAGGGUGCAAGCGUUAAUCGGAAUUACUGGGCGUAAAGCGUGCGCAGGCGGUUGUGCAAGACCGAUGUGAAAUCCCCGAGCUUAACUUGGGAAGUGCGGCAGAUACUCCAAGACUAGAGUACUGGAGGGGUUCGUGGAAUUCCCGGUGUAGUGGUGAAAUGCGUAGAGAUCCGGAGGAACACCAGUGGCGAAGGCGACACGCUGGGCCGUACCUGACACUGAUGCGCGACAGCAUGGGGAGCAAACAGG
Molecule: ribosomal RNA, 253 nt
Filed under: uncultured bacterium
Lineage: Bacteria
Description: partial 16S ribosomal RNA
Rfam family: Bacterial small subunit ribosomal RNA
Source: RNAcentral